AAAGAUGUCCACUUGAACAGAUAAAGCUCAGAAAACUCCCCGUCAUCUGCUGCUUUGGAAGUAACAGUGAAGCUAGUGCUGACACCAGCCAAAACUUUAAGAAGACCUUGGAAAAGAGCAAAUAGGUGAGAUGAGGCACCACCAAUGACCCAGAACUGCUCGUUUCUCCACCAGUCAUCAAUAGUAACACCUCCCUAUUGCAUCUCAAGAACACUCGUGGCAGCAAUCAUUAUGAAAAGUCCCAUGAAAAGAAUGCUAGCAUAGUUGCUAAUCUGCAAACCGCAAUGAAUUUUCAGCAAAAAUAUCAUGCGAUGAAUUGAAUGUUGUGAUGCAUUUUUAGUUAUGCCUAGAGAUAAAAGAUUCUGGAACUGAAUAAUAGUAUCAAACUUUCAAACUGGUGGCCUAAUCACUAGUCCCCGACAAAUAUAUAAAGACAAGAAAUUGGAGCAGCUGUCUCCUUCUAGGUACAGCACAACCAAGAUAACAGGCUUCCUGCUCUAAGAUACCUGGGGGCCGAGGGGAAAAAAUCAAAUUAAUAACAGCAGAAAGUAGCAGUUUGAGCUGUGUGAAAUAGUACAACAACAACUACCCAGUAUAGUCCCACAAAGUGGGGUCUGGGGAGGGUAAUAUGUAGACGAGCCUUACCCCUGUGUGAAAUAGUACAUUUACUCAAAUAUUUUUCUAAGGCAGCUUAUAUGAAAAGAGGGAUAUUUUGCAUACUGUCAUUUCCAGAAAUAAAGAUACAAAGUCCAUGUAAUAUGAAGAGUUGAGUAGAAUAUAAAAUAAAGCUCGAAGCAAGAAAUUCUUACCUCUGGAACAAUAAAUUUCCCAGUAAGCAAACAUACAGCUGGCAAUGCACAAUAUGCGAUCAAAGGAAGAGAAGUCAAUGGGUAGACCACCGAGUUUAUGUAGGAAAAACGUUCCAGUGGCUUCAGCCCACACCCAUAUCCAUACCAAAUGGGACAAUGUUUACUCAAGAGAAUUUCAACAGAUCCCAAAGCCCACCGCAGAACCUGGUGAAGCCGAUCUGAAAGAUUGAUAGGAGCUGACCCCUUAAACGCAGGCCUUUUUGGCAUGCAGUAGACAGAUCUCCAACCGUGACAGUGCAUCUUAAAUCCGGUAAGGAUAUCCUCAGUAACAGAUCCAUAAAUCCAUCCAACCUGGCGGUGCACUACAAGUUAGACCAAAUAAAUGCAGAAUGCAUUCCAGAAAAUAAAAAUAUCAGCAUGUAUUUUACCUCUCUACCCCAUUCUGUUUUGUCUUCAUAACCACAACUAAUGACAUGUAUUGCUUCUUUCAGGAGAGAUGCUGAUGUUGCUCCUGGAGGAAUGCCACCAUCUUCUAGAAGUGUUGAAGCGACGAAUACUGGUGAUUGUCCAAAUUUCUUCUCAAGUUUUAUCUGAGGCAUGAGGGUUGCUUUUUCACUAUCAAUUCCUGCAGCAAAAAGCAAGUUAACGACAAACGAACAUACAAGAAUCUGACAUUUUACCAUGAGUAAGGGAAGAAACAUGCUCCAGAGAUUUUAACUCGGAUAUAAUCCAAAAAGAAGAAAGUUAUGACAGAGGAACUUCGAAAUUAGAAUGUUUGCUAACCAAAUAGGCAAAUUGAAAAGGAUCCAAACUAGAUACUUAAGUCUACAAAUUAGCCUUAGUGGUGGCUUCUCAAAGUGUCCCUUCCGUACCUUCAAUUCCUUCCUCGAUAUUUUCAAGGGCAUGAAUUUGUGGUGAAGCCUCUUUGGUUUUAGUCUUCUUUUUGUUAUCCUUGGUAGUUUUCCCUUUCUUAUGCUUCUUUCGAGAACUGAAACAACAGCAACACCAUUUCGGCCAGCAGUUGCAUGUUUUUCCUGGAGGUUUUGUCUUCUUUGGAGCAUCAUAACCAUAAAGCGCUUGCCUCCUGAAGACACAUCCAGUACCCACGUAAAUUGGACCCUGGAUCCCAUCAAGUCCUUUCAUAUUGAUCUGUUAACGCAAAUGGCAUAAAAUUAAACUAGCUUUCUGUUAGGCAGCUAAUAGUGCAUAUCAUAUACUUGUGCACAAACAUAAACACUGCAACAUUGCAUAACAAAAACCCCAGAAGAAAGCUUCUUACGUACAUCAAAGAAGACCACAUUGCGAUUGGAGUAUCUGUCAUGCCUGUCAAUACCAUCAAACCUUUGCGGAAAUUGUACGUAGCAUAUUUUCUUUCCUGAAGUGGGGUCCAUCAUAAAGCACAUAGCUUCUCUCAGUGCCUUACUGUUAUUUAUAUAGUGAUCACAAUCCACAUUGAG
This 2266-nucleotide long non-coding RNA is filed under the name Nicotiana benthamiana. RNAcentral describes it as "long non-coding RNA (NBEN_LNC017049)". Lineage: Eukaryota; Viridiplantae; Streptophyta; Magnoliopsida; Solanales; Solanaceae. The record is from RNAcentral.